Molecule: ribosomal RNA, 493 nt
Filed under: uncultured bacterium
Lineage: Bacteria
Description: partial 16S ribosomal RNA
Rfam family: Bacterial small subunit ribosomal RNA
Source: RNAcentral
ACGAACGCUGGCGGCGUGCUUAACACAUGCAAGUCGAACGGUGAAGCGCCUUCCUUUUUGGUGGGUGUGGAUGAGUGGCGAACGGGUGAGUAACACGUGAGUAACCUGCCCCCUUCUUCUGGAUAACCGCAUGAAAGUGUGGCUAAUACGGGAUAUUCUGGGUCUGUCGCAUGAUGGGUCUGGGAAAGAUAUUGUUUCGGUGGGGGAUGGGCUCGCGGCCUAUCAGCUUGUUGGUGGGGUGAUGGCCUACCAAGGCGGUGACGGGUAGCCGGCCUGAGAGGGUGGACGGUCACACUGGGACUGAGACACGGCCCAGACUCCUGCGGGAGGCAGCAGUGGGGAAUAUUGCACAAUGGGCGCAAGCCUGAUGCAGCGACGCCGCGUGAGGGAUGGAGGCCUUCGGGUUGUGAACCUCUUUCGCCAGUGAAGCAGGCCUGCCUCGUUUGUGGGUGGGUUGACGGUAGCUGGAUAAGAAGCGCCGGCUAACUACGUG